RNAcentral lists this ribosomal RNA (254 nucleotides) under uncultured bacterium. Its description in RNAcentral is "partial 16S ribosomal RNA". It matches the Rfam family "Bacterial small subunit ribosomal RNA", at positions 795 to 1052 of the family's 1533-position model. The record is from RNAcentral.
CCACGCCGUAAACGAUGAUUACUAGGUGUUGGGGGUCAAACCUCAGCGCCCAAGCUAACGCGAUAAGUAAUCCACCUGGGGAGUACGCCGGCAACGGUGAAACUCAAAGGAAUUGACGGGGGCCCGCACAAGCGGAGGAACAUGUGGUUUAAUUCGAUGAUACGCGAGGAACCUUACCCGGGAUUGAAAUGUAGAUGCCGACAGAUGAAAGUUUGUUUUCCUUCGGGACAUCUAUGUAGGUGCUGCAUGGUUGU